CAGGAGAGGCGGGGCCUCACGGGGAGGCGCGCCUUCUGCAGCAGCCUGGGCUGAGCUCUCCUGGUCGUCCUCCCGUGAUGGGCACCCAAAUGCCUCUAACCUGUUGCUACAAUGAACAUCUUUGUGCCUGUCCCCUUAUGCACCUGGGCUUAAGUUUCUCUGGGAUGCAUCCCUGGAAUGGACUACUGGACCAUAUUCAUUUCUAGUACUGCUGGACAAAUUAAUGACAUGGGGUUUCUGAAUACAAGGAAGGUCAAAGAGGAAAAGAGAAUGAGUGAGAGAGAGCACAAGCAGGGGGAGCAGCAGAGGGAGAAGGAGAAGCAGGCUCUAUGCUGAACAGAGAGCCUGAUGCGGGCCUUGAUCCCAGGACCCUGGGAUCAUGACCUGAGCCAAAGGCAGACACUUAACCGACUGAGCCACCCAGGCGCCCUGGUAAUUCUGUUUUUAUUUUAUUUUGUUUUUCUCUACUGUCUAACAUUGUUUAAUACCUAACAAGAAUCAGUUUUGAGCUGGGAAUAUCAGCUAAUGUAUAGUAAGCUAUUACUCUGUGCCAGGUUCACUUAUAUUUUUACAAUAAACCUAUGAACUAGAAGAUAAAC
Long non-coding RNA from Mirounga angustirostris (Northern elephant seal), 599 nucleotides. RefSeq lists it as uncharacterized. The record is from RefSeq and is a predicted model, not a curated record. Lineage: Eukaryota; Metazoa; Chordata; Mammalia; Carnivora; Phocidae. The transcript has 4 exons.